UGGGGAAUAUUGCACAAUGGGCGCAAGCCUGAUGCAGCCAUGCCGCGUGUGUGAAGAAGGCCUUCGGGUUGUAAAGCACUUUCAGCGGGGAGGAAGGCGAUAAGGUUAAUAACCUUGUCGAUUGACGUUACCCGCAGAAGAAGCACCGGCUAACUCCGGGCCAGCAGCCGCGGUAAUACGGAGGGUGCAAGCGUUAAUCGGAAUUACUGGGCGUAAAGCGCACGCAGGCGGUCUGUCAAGUCGGAUGUGAAAUCCCCGGGCUCAACCUGGGAACUGCAUUCGAAACUGGCAGGCUAGAGUCUUGUAGAGGGGGGUAGAAUUCCAGGUGUAGCGGUGAAAUGCGUAGAGAUCUGGAGGAAUACCGGUGGCGAAGGCGGCCCCCUGGACAAAGACUGACGCUCAGGUGCGAAAGCGUGGGGAGCAAACAGG
This 429-nucleotide ribosomal RNA is filed under the name Chloroflexota bacterium. RNAcentral describes it as "Chloroflexi bacterium partial 16S ribosomal RNA". It matches the Rfam family "Bacterial small subunit ribosomal RNA", at positions 355 to 776 of the family's 1533-position model. Lineage: Bacteria; Bacillati; Chloroflexota. The record is from RNAcentral.